This is a long non-coding RNA of Beta vulgaris subsp. vulgaris (sugar beet), 897 nucleotides long. RefSeq lists it as uncharacterized. The transcript has 2 exons. NCBI's taxonomy places the organism in Eukaryota, Viridiplantae, Streptophyta, Magnoliopsida, Caryophyllales, Amaranthaceae. The record is from RefSeq and is a predicted model, not a curated record.
GCAAAAAAAAAAAUUGAUUUUCGCCAGGUCAGGGAGUGAGUCCCACUCCCAUGCAUGAUCAUCUUUUCACUCAUUCCAUACCAUUUUUUUUUUCAAUCACCACUCAAUCUUUUUCUCACUCGUUAUUAAGAGCACCCUUUUAAAAUUGAAUACUUGAUCUUUUUUUUUCACUUAUCAUUAAGGAUGCUCUUAAAACCCUACACAACUCGCAAGUCGCACCCCACUCCCCCCACCCCACCCACACAAGCACCUCACAAACAAAACCACCGUGAUACACCUACUAUUCAGUAUUCACCAUUUUGUUGGAUAGAAAUAGUCAAUAUUGGAGUGCUUAGUGCUUAGUCUUAGCAAGAUCACAAUAAAAUUGAAAUUCUUACCGAAGGCAGGGACGUCGAAGACAUCAAAAACUGAUUCAACGAAGAGGGAGAGUUGCAGAGGAGUGAGAAAAUAUGGCGGGGAAAGGAUCGAAGCGGCAACAACCGUCGCUUGUCACCACCAUUUACCUCUAUCUUCGUGCCGCCGAAUUUGAGAUUUUUUUCUUUCUCUUCUUCUUCAUCGCUUUCUUUUUCUUCAGGAAUCUCACAGCAAGACCUGAGUACAAUCAGAUUUUGGUGAAGAAGCCUCAACAUGAUUUCUAGCCUUUCUAAGAGAUCUUGACGAUGCUGUCAUAUAUUUUGUCUGAUUUUCCUUCAUUUUGAUUAUGCGUUUGAUUUUCGUAUUAUUCUUUCCUCUUAAAAUUGUAGUAUAGCUCGUUGCGAGUUGGUCAAUGAUGUAAAUCUAUUACCGGAAAAAGUAUAUGUUACUUCAUCUUGUCUGUGAAAUUUGAAUUAUGAGGAAGUCCUAGGAAAUGUUUUCCAGACAACUGGUUUAUGGUAGCAACUAGCAUGUUUGAAGAAA